UACAGAGGGUGCUAGCGUUGUUCGGAAUCAUUGGGCGUAAAGCGCGUGUAGGCGGAUGGACAAGCCUGAGGUGAAAGGUUGGGGCUCAACCCCAUACAGUGCCUUGGGGACUGUUCGUCUGGAGGCCGGCAGAGGAGAGUGGAAUUCCUGGUGUAGCGGUGGAAUGCGUAGAGAUCAGGAAGAACACCCAUGGCGAAGGCAGCUCUCUGGGCCGGUACUGACGCUGAGACGCGAAAGCGCGGGGAGCGAACGGG
This 254-nucleotide ribosomal RNA is filed under the name uncultured bacterium. RNAcentral's name for it is "partial 16S ribosomal RNA". It matches the Rfam family "Bacterial small subunit ribosomal RNA", at positions 524 to 776 of the family's 1533-position model. The record is from RNAcentral.